ACGGGAGGCAGCAGUGGGGAAUAUUGCACAAUGGGCGCAAGCCUGAUGCAGCGAUGCCGCGUGAGGGAAGAAGGUUUUCGGAUUGUAAACCUCUGUCAUCGGGGACGAUAAUGACUGUACCCGAGAAGGAAGCUCCGGCUAACUACGUGCCAGCAGCCGCGGUAAUACGUAGGGAGCAAGCGUUAUCCGGAUUUAUUGGGUUUAGAGGGUGCGCAGGCGGAGGAUUAAGUCAGCGGUGAAAUUCUCAUGCUCAACAUGAGAACUGCCAUUGAUACUGGUCCCCUUGAGAGAUGUCGAGGAUGGCGGAAUGUGAUGUGUAGCGGUGAAAUGCUUAGAUAUGUCACAGAACACCGAUUGCGAAGGCAGCUGUCCAGAGAUCAUCUGACGCUCAGGCACGAGAGCAUGGGUAUCAAACAGGAUUAGAUACCCUGGUA
RNAcentral lists this ribosomal RNA (434 nucleotides) under uncultured Ruminococcus sp. RNAcentral describes it as "partial 16S ribosomal RNA". It matches the Rfam family "Bacterial small subunit ribosomal RNA", at positions 341 to 792 of the family's 1533-position model. Lineage: Bacteria; Bacillati; Bacillota; Clostridia; Eubacteriales; Oscillospiraceae. The record is from RNAcentral.